GGAACUUUUAAAGGAUGGUCAUCCCUACUGUACUUGCUUAAUUUAUGGUGAAUUUUUGAAGUACAUCCACGUUUUCAGAACC
Molecule: non-coding RNA, 82 nt
Organism: Felis catus (domestic cat)
Lineage: Eukaryota; Metazoa; Chordata; Mammalia; Carnivora; Felidae
Source: Rfam